GACGAACGCUGGCGGCGUGCUUAACACAUGCAAGUCGAACGGAAAGGCCCUGCUUUUGUGGGGUGCUCGAGUGGCGAACGGGUGAGUAACACGUGAGUAACCUCCCCUUUACUUUGGGGUAACUUCUGGAGACUGGGGCUAAAAUCGGACAGGAGCUCUUUCUGCAUGGGGGGGGAUGGAAAAUUGGGGGGGUGGGGGAGGGGGGGGGGGGGGGGGGGGGGGUUGGGGGGGGGGGGGGGUAGGGGGGCUUUGACGGGUAGCCGGCCUGCGAGGGUGACCGGCCACAUUGGGACUGAGAUACGGCCCAGACUCCUACGGGAGGCAGCAGUGGGGAAUAUUGCACAAUGGGCGGAAGCCGUAUGCAGCAACGCCGCGUGCGGGAUGACGGCCUUCGGGUUGUAAACCGCUUGCGCCUGUGACGAAGCGUGAGUGACGGUAAUGGGUAAAGAAGCACCGGCUAACUACGUG
Molecule: ribosomal RNA, 468 nt
Filed under: uncultured bacterium
Lineage: Bacteria
Description: partial 16S ribosomal RNA
Rfam family: Bacterial small subunit ribosomal RNA
Source: RNAcentral